This 99-nucleotide transfer RNA is filed under the name Colletotrichum falcatum. RNAcentral's name for it is "tRNA-Arg". It matches the Rfam family "tRNA". From Rfam's summary of the family: Transfer RNA (tRNA) molecules are approximately 80 nucleotides in length. Lineage: Eukaryota; Fungi; Ascomycota; Sordariomycetes; Glomerellales; Glomerellaceae. The record is from RNAcentral.
GGCCGGCUGGCUCAAUGGUAGAGCAUCAGACUUCUACCCUCUCGCGCACCCCGAGACGUAGUUAUCUGAAGGCUGCGGGUUCGAGCCCCGCGUUGGUCA